GACGAACGCUGGCGGUGUGCUUAACACAUGCAAGUCGAACGGUAAGGCCCUUUCGGGGGUACACGAGUGGCGAACGGGUGAGUAACACGUGAGUAACCUGCCCUCAUCUCUGGGAUAACAGUCGGAAACGGUUGCUAAUACUGGAUAUGAGCUUGCAAGGCAUCUUGUGGGUUGGAAAGAUUUUUUUUGGUUGGGGAUGGACUCGCGGCCUAUCAGCUUGUUGGUGAGGUGGUGGCUCACCAAGGCUUCGACGGGUAGCCGGCCUGAGAGGGCGACCGGCCACACUGGGACUGUGAUACUGCCCAAACUCCCACGCGAGGCAGCAGUGGGGAAUAUUGCACAAUGGACGGAAGUCUGAUGCAGCAACGCCGCGUGCGGGAUGAAGGGCUUCGGGUUGUAAACCGCUUUCAAUUGUGACGAAGCUUUUUUGUGACGGUAGCAGGAGAAGAAGCACCGGCUAACUACGUG
This 468-nucleotide ribosomal RNA is filed under the name uncultured bacterium. RNAcentral's name for it is "partial 16S ribosomal RNA". It matches the Rfam family "Bacterial small subunit ribosomal RNA", at positions 28 to 507 of the family's 1533-position model. The record is from RNAcentral.